RNAcentral lists this non-coding RNA (26 nucleotides) under Homo sapiens (human). The record is from RNAcentral. Lineage: Eukaryota; Metazoa; Chordata; Mammalia; Primates; Hominidae.
CUGUACCCAGCAGGCUCAGCACGGUC